UCGAGAAUCUUUCGCAAUGCCCGAAAGGGUGACGAAGCGACGCCGCGUGCGGGAGGAAGGCCUUCGGGUUGUAAACCGCUGUCGGGAGUUAAGAAAUGCAAGGAUGUUAAUAGCGUUCUUGCUUGACUAAGGCUCCGGAGGAAGCCACGGCUAACUCUGUGCCAGCAGCCGCGGUAAUACAGAGGCGGCAAGCGUUGUUCGGAAUUAUUGGGCGUAAAGAGCACGUAGGCGGCUGUGUAAGUCGGUUGUGAAAGCCUUCCGCUCAACGGAAGAACGGCAUCCGAUACUGCAUGGCUUGAGUGUGGGAGGGGAGAGUGGAACUUCUGGUGGAGCGGUGAAAUGCGUAGAUAUCAGAAGGAACACCGGCGGCGAAGGCGACGUCUCGUGGUCCAUAACUGACGC
RNAcentral lists this ribosomal RNA (402 nucleotides) under uncultured bacterium. RNAcentral describes it as "bacterial SSU rRNA". It matches the Rfam family "Bacterial small subunit ribosomal RNA", at positions 355 to 746 of the family's 1533-position model. The record is from RNAcentral.